Molecule: ribosomal RNA, 496 nt
Filed under: uncultured bacterium
Lineage: Bacteria
Description: partial 16S ribosomal RNA
Rfam family: Bacterial small subunit ribosomal RNA
Source: RNAcentral
GAUGAACGCUGGCGGCGUGCCUAAUACAUGCAAGUCGAGCGAACAGACGAGGAGCUUACUCCUCUGACGUUAGCGGCGGACGGGUGAGUAACACGUGGAAACCUACCUAUAAGACUGGGAUAACUUCGGGAAACCGGAGCUAAUACCGGAUAACAUGUUGAACCGCAUGGUUCAACAGUGAAAGACGGUCUUGCUGUCACUUAUAGCUGGAUCCGCGUCGCAUUAGCUAGUUGGUAAGGUAACGGCUUACCAAGGCAACGAUGCGUAGCCGACCUGAGAGGGUGAUCGGCCACACUGGAACUGAGACACGGUCCAGACUCCUACGGGAGGCAGCAGUAGGGAAUCUUCCGCAAUGGGCGAAAGCCUGACGGAGCAACGCCGCGUGAGUGAAGAAGGUCUUCGGAUCGUAAAACUCUGUUAUUAGGGAAGAACAAAUGUGUAAGUAACUAUGCACGUCUUGACGGUACCUAAUCAGAAAGCCACGGCUAACUACGUG